GAUGCCGUAAAGCGAUUGGCGCAAACAGUCCAGCAGGAAACUAUAUGUAGCAGCAUAAAUGGUACGCUGCCACUUUAAGGCCAAUUUCAGCUGCUGCAUAUAAGCAGGUCUCUACCUGCCACAAGACUACUUGCGUCAUGACGUCAUCAACUCAUUCUGCUUCCUGUGUUUGCUGAGCUGUGCUGGCCUCCCUUGCUGCGCCUCCAACUCCUGGACCAAUCUGGUUGUUUGCUGCCGGGCAGCUGCGCUGCAUAGGUGAACUUGUGGAUCUGUUUAACUGGCCGUGUGGUAAUUUACAGGGACUGAAGCUUCUGUGGUGGCGGUGGUGACCCCUGGUGGCGGUGUCUUGUCUUGUGUGUUUUGUUGGAGCACCUUUGUGUGUGUGUGUGUGUGUGUGUGUGUGUGUGUGUUUGUAGUGUCCAGGGUGAUCCCUUUUCUUCACUGGAUGUUGCCCAUUUCCUCACUUUUCUCUCCCCCCACCGAGUGCGGUUUUCCUGCAGGUCGGAGUGCGGCGAGCCGCUCAGGCUGCAGGUCAGGAAUGAAGACAGCAGCAGCAGCAGCAGCAGAACCGGGCCAGACGGCACCAUGACUGAGGACAAACACAGGAACGUCAGAGAACCGAUGAUGAGAAACCAAACGUACCGUGAUCCUCAGUUCUGGGUGAUGCUUUUUCUGGAAAGACAAAACGGUUCAGAAGUUUGUUGAAGCAUUUAAAAAAUGAACAAAAGAAGUUGUUUUAAUAGAAGUGAGAUCUGAACUGACC
Molecule: long non-coding RNA, 763 nt
Organism: Xiphophorus maculatus (southern platyfish)
Lineage: Eukaryota; Metazoa; Chordata; Actinopteri; Cyprinodontiformes; Poeciliidae
Exons: 7
Source: RefSeq, a predicted model, not a curated record